This 468-nucleotide ribosomal RNA is filed under the name uncultured bacterium. RNAcentral's name for it is "partial 16S ribosomal RNA". It matches the Rfam family "Bacterial small subunit ribosomal RNA", at positions 28 to 507 of the family's 1533-position model. The record is from RNAcentral.
GACGAACGCUGGCGGCGUGCUUAACACAUGCAAGUCGAACGGAAAGGCCCUGCUUUUGUGGGGUGCUCGAGUGGCGAACGGGUGAGUAACACGUGAGUAACCUGCCCUUGACUUUGGGAUAACUUCAGGAAACUGGGGCUAAUACCGGAUAGGAGCUCCUGCUGCAUGGUGGGGGUUGGAAAGUUUCGGCGGUUGGGGAUGGACUCGCGGCUUAUCAGCUUGUUGGUGGGGUAGUGGCUUACCAAGGCUUUGACGGAUAGCCUGCAUGAGAGGGUGAACAGCGACAAUAGGCCUGAGGGACGGAGCAGACUGCAACGGGAGGCAACAGUCGAGAAUAUUACACAGUGAGGCGAAGCGUGAGACGGAGACGCCGGGUUCGGGAAGAAGGCCUUCGGGUUGGAAACCGCUGUAAGAUGAGACGAAGCGGGAGUGACGGUAAUGAGUAGAGAAGCACCGGCUAACUACGUG